GGAACAUACAUGGUACAAAUAUGAAAUCAUUAAAAGUGGGUUUUAAGAAAACAGCUUCUGUCAUUAAGAUCGAGACCUACCUAUUAUUCUAAAUGUUUAAACUUAAUGUGUGUGUGUGUGUGUGCCUUUGAAUGUGUAAAUGCAUAUGUGUGAGUGUGUGUGAAUUCGUAUGUGAGAAUCUAUGUGUGAGAGUGUGGACAUGAGUGUAUGUGAGUGUGGUGUUUAUGAGAGUGAGUGUGUGGGUGUAGGUAUCUGUCUGUCUGUCUGUCUGUUAGAGGAUAAUACUACUUCUACCUCAAGUAGGUUCUGUGGAUUAAACUCACUACAUAGACUUGUCUGCAGGUGCCAGUGUGCUGGCUCGCUGACCCCAAGUGUCUACUUUUAAUGAGCAUGUUAAAAACGAAAUAAAAUUCUCUCACCAUAUUAAUAGUACAUUAAAAGUCUUGUUCAGGGAACCUUUUGCAGUGUGUAUAGGUGACAUUUUCUUCCUAAUGGAAAUAGCGCUAAAGACUUUGGUAUCCUGAUACUCUAGCAAACAGUGGCAAAUAUUGAAGUCAGAGUAGAAUCCAGUUUCUCAGUGAAAUUUGAAUUUAGCGUCUAAUGUCAUAGAGCUUUCUUCAUCUAUAAGUGCAUUCUUGCAAAAGAAAAAAGUCUACAGGCAUGUGAAAGCACACUGAUAAAUUGGAGUUAGGAAUGCAUUCAACUUUGGUACAUAAUAACAUCCUAAACUGAAUAUUAGUAUUUACAUAUGAUCAUGGUAAACCUGCCAUAACGAUUAUUUUCUUUGAUUUAAUUUUUUAUUCAGUUGCCACUGAAAGGCAAAACAUGAUGAACACAUAUGUGUGCUAUGUUCUGGUUUUUCAGUUGUGUGAUGGAAGUGUCUGGAAAACUCUGUUCUGACAUAUUACUAUUUUGUUCUCUUGUCCCUAAGGAGAACUUUAGAUCAGGGUUCUGGACUUUUGUAGCAAAACUGUGAAAAAUAUUGUAAUUUUCAUAAGCUUGUAGGAAUAUUAAAAUCCAUGCAGAGCUUCCAGGACUGUGAUUAUAAAAAUGAUCAAAUCAGUGCAGUUUUCUACAACCUCAGUAUUAGGUUAAAAUUUGCUUUUUUUUCAACUUGUGUAUUUUAGAAGAUUGUUCAUGUCAUUCUAAUUUCCUUAAUUUAGGUUGGCUGCAAGCUCUUCUAGACCUCUGAUAUUCUUUUCAGCGAUUUCACUUUCCCGAUUUGCAUUCUGUACAGUUCAGGGUGAGCUUCCUGUUUGGAAUAGUUAAGGCAUACACUGGUUUUCUACUGCUUUUCUUAGAGUGUAGACUCAAACCAUGAGUGUGAUGUGCAAUUUGUUGCCCAUUAAGUAUGUGACUGAUUCUGUCCUAGUGUAGAACAUUGUCAUGAUUAUGAGAAAAUGUGUGACUCUUUGCAUUACUCUUCCCUAAGUACUUUUGGGAGUAAUUAUUGGACUUUAUUUCCAUUGUCUCAGUGGCAAAUCGAGAUCCUAAUAUUGAAGUCUGUUUUGACUUGUCAAAUUCCAUCAGUAACUAGUAAAUAGAUUUGGUCAUCCUCCAAACUAGUUAGUCUCUUGCCUGGCUAUUAUUGAUACUAUUCUUAGUUUCUGGUGCCACCGUGAGUAUUGGUUUCCUUUGGUAACUCUUACUUUUGGUGUUUCCUAAUCAAUGGAAAACAGCAUUUUUCACUCCCUCAGCUAAGAUUCUAGAUUUUUUUUUAAGUGUUUAUAUCUUUUCCUUUACACUUCUUGCCCUUUUGUGCCCAGGAUAACACAGUCCUGUAUUGCAUAAGUAUUCUGAGUUAAUCCUUUCUGACUUCUACAUUAGUAAAUGAAUUUUUAAGAUGAGGAAUUGAUUAGACAUAAUUUGCAGAUAUAGCAUGAGUUUAAACAGUAAAAAUUAGAGGCCAGAGCAUAACUGGGUCUCCAAAUGAAUGAGCUUCAGCAACUUAAACUUCCUGUUCCUAUACCAUUUGAGUUGAAUUUUGGUAUUCUAGACCAUACUUGAUAUUUAUUGGGUUACUAUUUUUUUGAACAGUUUUCAAUAAAGCCUUGAAAUAAGAAAAUUGGUAAAUAGAAAGCCUGGUCCUUGCUUUAAAAGGCGACUCAUGUGGGAAAGAGAGGUAAAUAAAUACACAUCUUCAUGCCAUCAGCUCGGGAAGUUGAUAAUUAAAUGCACAAUUAGUCUUUUGCAUCCUCUAAUUUAGAAUAAGGUACGUGGCGACAUUUUCAACUAUUAGACAGGUUCGCUACCCAAAAAGUGAAAAGGAUGAUAAAGAUAAUGAUGAUAAAGGCUGUGAUGUGUAGACUGUCUUCUGCACAUUUCCCUACUGUCUCUCCACACUACUUAUCUUAGCUAGUUUGACUCAGUAUACUGCCCAGUAGCAAAAGAAGUUUAAGAGACAAGUAGCUGACUGGCAACCCUCAGGACAAUCACCAGAGGAAGUCAAAAGGGGGCAAAGAGAUCUGAAGAUGACUCUUCCCUUGACCAAUUAGUGGCCAGGAUUUCUGGGUUACUUAUUUCUUCUUUUCCAUCAUUAGAUGGUUUGAUUGGGAGAAGAGAAGAGAUUUUAAUUUUACUCUUGUCAUCCGGUACAAGAAUUCACUCUUUCAAAAUGGAAGUGACAGGUGAAUUUCAUUAAGAUGGAUAAUAGGCAGCCCUGUACAAACUUGCAACUAAUAUCAGCGAGAAGAAAUUUUAACCAAGCUAUUACUUUUUGACCAAUGUUCUAUUACUUGUCUUGACAACCUUGUAUUUAAUGAUGGAGGAUAUAAUAGGUGAGGGGCUUUCAUUUUAGGUUUUCAUUUUAACGUGUGUGUGUGUGUGUGUGAGUGUGUGUGUGUGUGUGUGUGUGUGUGCCUGCAGUUUUUAAGAUCUAGAUUGUACUACAGUGCUACUUUCCUGGUGGAAAAGAAAGUUGAUAACUGUAUGCAUAUUUGCAAUGGACGCAAUCUAGGAAUUAUUAGUGAGAACUGCCAGCUGAUGCUGCUGACACAUGUAUUUUUAACAGGAAGUAUUCUGCUCUGUGUGUUUGUUUGUAAAAACUGCAAUCCUCAUCAGUGAACUACUGAUGCAGCGAAGGUCUUUCUGAGGUCUGGUCGGGCUCAGAGUCCCCAGUUCCAGGAAUUGGUGCAUGUCACUGAGCCCUUCUAACCUGUUCUGGGCCUUUAUUCUGAUUUCUUCUGCACACACUCUUGACGAGCUACGGAGUCCCACAUCUCCAUUUGGCAUGGGCAACUUAUGGAGGCAAGACUACAUGUUUAACUAUUGCAAUGUUUUGGGUGCAUAGCAGAGUGUAUGGAACAAAGGUUGUGAACCAUCAACCUAUCUGCAUGGGACUAGUAUUAUCAUUUGCCAGUAUUAUUACAUUUGCCUGGUGUAAAAGGCAGCUUUAAAGCUUCCCAUUGCAUUUGGUUCCUUUUCUUUGCAGAUUUUUGCGUUGUUUGAUGAUGUCACAUUCCAUGCAUUUGCAUUUUAGUGAGGAGCUAUGUUUUCAUGUUUCAC
RNAcentral lists this long non-coding RNA (3504 nucleotides) under Mus pahari (shrew mouse). RNAcentral describes it as "predicted gene 29112 (MGP_PahariEiJ_G0033034.1)". The record is from RNAcentral. Lineage: Eukaryota; Metazoa; Chordata; Mammalia; Rodentia; Muridae.